RNAcentral lists this small nucleolar RNA (135 nucleotides) under Dasypus novemcinctus (nine-banded armadillo). RNAcentral's name for it is "Small nucleolar RNA SNORA42/SNORA80 family (ENSDNOG00000047779.1)". It matches the Rfam family "Small nucleolar RNA SNORA42/SNORA80 family". Rfam says of the family: The members of this family belong to the H/ACA class of snoRNAs that guide the sites of modification of uridines to pseudouridines. Human ACA42 (SNORA42) was cloned from HeLa cells by immunoprecipitation with anti-GAR1 antibody. Its is predicted to guide the pseudouridylation of residues U109 and U572 of 18S rRNA. The record is from RNAcentral. Lineage: Eukaryota; Metazoa; Chordata; Mammalia; Cingulata; Dasypodidae.
AAAUAUAUAUUGCUUCUUGGCAGGUCUGCACCCCUGGACCUCUCAUAGUGUCCCAUGCCAGAACAAACUGUAGCCCCGAACUACUGCCUGUCCUCCUUGACCAUAGACCUCAGCACUGAAGAGGGUUGCACAGUA